Molecule: non-coding RNA, 798 nt
Organism: Drosophila melanogaster (fruit fly)
Lineage: Eukaryota; Metazoa; Arthropoda; Insecta; Diptera; Drosophilidae
Source: Ensembl
AACUCCCCACAAACAAUGUCAACCUAACGCACGAGCAUCAGCUGAGUGACUGAGUGACUGAGAGACUGCUCCAUCGACCAUUCAGCACCGUACUGAUAUGGUCAUCCCAUCCCACCGCCACCGCCAUCGUCCCACAGCCGGGUCCAAAUCAGUUCAGACUCGGAUUCAGAUGCGAGAGCCGCAGCGAGAGAACGCGGUAUUGAUAUUGGCAGACCUUUGUCUGCCGCUCUUGACAAUGAAGCCUCAUUCGCGAAAUGGAAAUCAGGUGGAAUCACUACUAUGAGUUGCAGCUAAUCCGAUGGUGAAACUGGUUGAAAUGCCGGGUUAACUCCAGUAACUCACCUUUAGAUCACAUCUACAUCAACUGUGCCUGAAUCCAAGAUAUUUUAAAAGAUCGGGAUCCUCGUCCGCAGCCUUCUUGAUCCGCAGCAAGAUGGUGGUGUACCACUGAUCCAACCGGGAGAUGCUGUCGUAGUCCUUGACGGCCUCUGUGAAUCCCUCGAUGUUCUGUUCCUCUAGAUUCUCGCACAACACCUGUAAUUCGAAAAGCGUCUUAAAGUAAAUAUCUGCGAAAACCAAAGACGACACACACACACCAAAGAUAAAACUUAAGCAAACUGAUACCCACCUUGAUGAGCUUGAACUCCCUGGAGUCCUGGAAUGCUGGGUACUGCUGCGCAUACUUUUCGAUGGCAUGCUGGGCGUUCAGGAGGUCCACGCUGAGAUGGCAUAGAGCGGCCCUGAAGAAGUACUCCUUGGCACUGUACUUGAGCAGAGAGCUCUCCAGCGAGGAGGCGG